CGGGGCCUAGCCGGUCGCCCAUUUCCGUGACGCCGGAAUCGUAGAACCGUUUGAUGGAAUCGCCGGCCUCGGCCAGCACGCGGCGGUUGGUGGCGAACCGCGGGCCCUUGACCGAGAACACGAAACCGUCGGGCACCUCGCUGGCCCAUUUGCGGAAGCUUUCCGGCUUCUGCGAGCCGUAAUAGGUGCCGUUGAUUUCGAUCGAGGUCAGCUUGGAGGCGGCAUAGGACAGCUCUUUCGCCUGGGUCAGCUUUUCGGGGUAGAACACGCCCCGCCAGGGCGCG
RNAcentral lists this unclassified non-coding RNA (284 nucleotides) under Hevea brasiliensis (rubber tree). Lineage: Eukaryota; Viridiplantae; Streptophyta; Magnoliopsida; Malpighiales; Euphorbiaceae. The record is from RNAcentral.